This 476-nucleotide ribosomal RNA is filed under the name uncultured bacterium. RNAcentral describes it as "partial 16S ribosomal RNA". It matches the Rfam family "Bacterial small subunit ribosomal RNA", at positions 355 to 817 of the family's 1533-position model. The record is from RNAcentral.
UGGGGAAUUUUGGACAAUGGGCGCAAGCCUGAUCCAGCCAUGCCGCGUGCGGGAAGAAGGCCUUCGGGUUGUAAACCGCUUUUGUCAGGGAAGAAAUCUUCUGAGUUAAUACCUCGGGAGGAUGACGGUACCUGAAGAAUAAGCACCGGCUAACUACGUGCCAGNCAGCCGCGGUAAUACGUAGGGUGCAAGCGUUAAUCGGAAUUACUGGGCGUAAAGCGUGCGCAGGCGGUUUUGUAAGACAGAGGUGAAAUCCCCGGGCUCAACCUGGGAACUGCCUUUGUGACUGCAAGGCUUGAGUGCGGCAGAGGGGGAUGGAAUUCCGCGUGUAGCAGUGAAAUGCGUAGAUAUGCGGAGGAACACCGAUGGCGAAGGCAAUCCCCUGGGCCUGCACUGANCCGCUCCAUGCACGAAAAGCGUGGGGAGCAAAACAGGAUUAGAUCCCUGGUAGUCCACGCCCUAAAACGAUGUCAACU